UUUGAGUCUUUUUGUUAUUCUUGACUUGGGUAUUUCUUUCAAGUGAAAAAAUUGAGUUUUGUCUUUCUUGAUUUGGGUAUUUCUUAAAAGUGAAAAAGAUUGAGUCUUUUUGUUAUUCUUGAUUUGGGUAUUUGUGUUCCUUUGAGUUUGCGUUUUAAGAGCUUGUGGGUGUGUGAUUUAGUGAUUUUGGAUUGGAUAAAAUGGAGGAAAAAUAUGAGCUUUUGAAGGAACUUGGUGCUGGGAAUUUUGGAGUAGCAAGGUUAGUUAAGGAUAAGAAGACAAAGGAGCUUUUAGCUGUCAAAUAUAUAGAAAGAGGGAAAAAGAUUGAUGAGAAUGUG
RNAcentral lists this unclassified non-coding RNA (338 nucleotides) under Hevea brasiliensis (rubber tree). The record is from RNAcentral. Lineage: Eukaryota; Viridiplantae; Streptophyta; Magnoliopsida; Malpighiales; Euphorbiaceae.